Molecule: ribosomal RNA, 253 nt
Filed under: uncultured bacterium
Lineage: Bacteria
Description: partial 16S ribosomal RNA
Rfam family: Bacterial small subunit ribosomal RNA
Source: RNAcentral
UACGUAGGAUGCAAGCGUUGUCCGGAAUUAUUGGGCGUAAAGAGCGCGCAGGCGGUAUGACAAGUCAGAUGUGAAAGAGGCCGGCUUAACCGGCAAGGGCGAUUUGAAACUGUCAGACUAGAGUGCAGCAGAGGAUAGUGGAAUUCCCGGUGUAGUGGUGAAAUGCGUAGAUAUCGGGAGGAACACCAGUGGCGAAGGCGACGAUCUGGGCUGCAACUGACGCUGAGGCGCGAAGGCUAGGGUAGCAAACAGG